RNAcentral lists this ribosomal RNA (598 nucleotides) under Colletotrichum gloeosporioides. RNAcentral describes it as "eukaryotic LSU rRNA". The stretch from base 227 to 380 matches the Rfam family "5.8S ribosomal RNA". Lineage: Eukaryota; Fungi; Ascomycota; Sordariomycetes; Glomerellales; Glomerellaceae. The record is from RNAcentral. RNAcentral also lists the same sequence under 1 other name.
GGAAGUAAAAGUCGUAACAAGGUCUCCGUUGGUGAACCAGCGGAGGGAUCAUUACUGAGUUUACGCUCUACAACCCUUUGUGAACAUACCUAUAACUGUUGCUUCGGCGGGUAGGGUCUCCGUGACCCUCCCGGCCUCCCGCCCCCGGGCGGGUCGGCGCCCGCCGGAGGAUAACCAAACUCUGAUUUAACGACGUUUCUUCUGAGUGGUACAAGCAAAUAAUCAAAACUUUUAACAACGGAUCUCUUGGUUCUGGCAUCGAUGAAGAACGCAGCGAAAUGCGAUAAGUAAUGUGAAUUGCAGAAUUCAGUGAAUCAUCGAAUCUUUGAACGCACAUUGCGCCCGCCAGCAUUCUGGCGGGCAUGCCUGUUCGAGCGUCAUUUCAACCCUCAAGCUCUGCUUGGUGUUGGGGCCCUACAGCUGAUGUAGGCCCUCAAAGGUAGUGGCGGACCCUCCCGGAGCCUCCUUUGCGUAGUAACUUUACGUCUCGCACUGGGAUCCGGAGGGACUCUUGCCGUAAAACCCCCAAUUUUCCAAAGGUUGACCUCGGAUCAGGUAGGAAUACCCGCUGAACUUAAGCAUAUCAAUAAGCGGAGGA